UCGACCUUAGUUGCCAGCAUUCAGUUGGGCACGUCUAAGGUGACUGCCGGCUAAAGUCGGAGGAAGGUGGGGAUGACGGUCAAAUCAUCAUGCCCUUAUGACCUGGGCUACACACGUGCUACAAUGGGCGGUACAAAGGGUCGCGAACCGCAGGGGGAGCCAAUCCCAAAAAGCCGCUCUCAGUUCGGAUUGCAGGCUGCAACUCGCCUGCAUGAAGCCGGAAUCGCUAGUAAUCGCGGAUCAGCAUGCCGCGGUGAAUACGUUCCCGGGCCUU
Molecule: ribosomal RNA, 274 nt
Filed under: uncultured Anoxybacillus sp.
Lineage: Bacteria; Bacillati; Bacillota; Bacilli; Caryophanales; Anoxybacillaceae
Description: partial 16S ribosomal RNA
Rfam family: Bacterial small subunit ribosomal RNA
Source: RNAcentral